AUUGAACGCUGGCGGCAUGCUUUACACAUGCAAGUCGAACGGCAGCGCGGGCUUCGUCCUGGCUGCUCGUGGCGCACGGGUGAGUAAUGCAUCUGAACGUGCCCAGUAGUGGGGGAUAGCCCGGCGAAAGCCGGAUUAAUACCGCAUACGACCUGAUGGUGCAACCGGGGGACCGAAAGACCUCUCGCUAUUGGGGCGGCCGAUGUCGGAUUAGCUAGUUGGUGGGGUAAAGGCUUACCAAGGCGACGAUCCGUAGCUGGUCUGAGAGGACGACCAGCCACACUGGGACUGAGACACGGCCCAGAGUACUACGGGAGGCAGCAGUGGGGAAUUUUGGACAAUGGGGGCAAACCUGAUCCAGCCAUGCCGCGUGCGGGAAGAAGGCCUUCGGGUUGUAAACCGCUUUUGUUCGGGAAGAAAUCCUCUGGGCUAAUACCCCGGGGGGAUGACGGUACCGGAAGAAUAAGCACCGGCUAACUACGUG
This 484-nucleotide ribosomal RNA is filed under the name uncultured bacterium. RNAcentral's name for it is "partial 16S ribosomal RNA". It matches the Rfam family "Bacterial small subunit ribosomal RNA", at positions 30 to 507 of the family's 1533-position model. The record is from RNAcentral.